AUUGAACGCUGGCGGCAUGCCUUACACACGCAAGUCGAACGGCAGCACGGGAGCAAUCCUGGUGGCGAGUGGCGAACGGGCGAGUAAUAUAUCGGAACGUGCCCAGUCGUGGGGGAUAACGCAGCGAAAGCUGUGCUAAUACCGCAUACGAUCUACGGAUGAAAGCGGGGGAUCGCAAGACCUCGCGCGAUUGGAGCGGCCGAUAUCAGAUUAGCUAGUUGGUGAGGUAAAGGCUCACCAAGGCGACGAUCUGUAGCUGGUCUGAGAGGACGACCAGCCACACUGGAACUGAGACACGGUCCAGACUCCUACGGGAGGCAGCAGUGGGGAAUUUUGGACAAUGGGCGAAAGCCUGAUCCAGCAAUGCCGCGUGCAGGAUGAAGGCCUUCGGGUUGUAAACUGCUUUUGUACGGAACGAAACGGUGAGCUCUAAUACAGUUUGCUAAUGACGGUACCGUAAGAAUAAGCACCGGCUAACUACGUGCCAGCAGCCGCCGUAA
This 500-nucleotide ribosomal RNA is filed under the name uncultured bacterium. RNAcentral's name for it is "partial 16S ribosomal RNA". It matches the Rfam family "Bacterial small subunit ribosomal RNA", at positions 30 to 523 of the family's 1533-position model. The record is from RNAcentral.